This 74-nucleotide transfer RNA is filed under the name Felis catus (domestic cat). It matches the Rfam family "tRNA". From Rfam's summary of the family: Transfer RNA (tRNA) molecules are approximately 80 nucleotides in length. Lineage: Eukaryota; Metazoa; Chordata; Mammalia; Carnivora; Felidae. The record is from Rfam by way of RNAcentral.
GCCUGCCUGGCUCAGUCAGUAGAGCACGAGACUCUUGAUCUUGGGAUCGUGAGUUCAAAGCCCUGUGUUGGGUG